RNAcentral lists this ribosomal RNA (995 nucleotides) under uncultured bacterium. RNAcentral's name for it is "bacterial SSU rRNA". It matches the Rfam family "Bacterial small subunit ribosomal RNA", at positions 355 to 1375 of the family's 1533-position model. The record is from RNAcentral.
UGGGGAAUAUUGCACAAUGGGGGAAACCCUGAUGCAGCGACGCCGCGUGGAGGAAGAAGGUCUUCGGAUUGUAAACUCCUGUUGUUGAGGAAGAUAAUGACGGUACUCAACAAGGAAGUGACGGCUAACUACGUGCCAGCAGCCGCGGUAAAACGUAGGUCACAAGCGUUGUCCGGAAUUACUGGGUGUAAAGGGAGCGCAGGCGGGAAGACAAGUUGGAAGUGAAAUCCAUGGGCUCAACCCAUGAACUGCUUUCAAAACUGUUUUUCUUGAGUAGUGCAGAGGUAGGCGGAAUUCCCGGUGUAGCGGUGGAAUGCGUAGAUAUCGGGAGGAACACCAGUGGCGAAGGCGGCCUACUGGGCACCAACUGACGCUGAGGCUCGAAAGUGUGGGUAGCAAACAGGAUUAGAUACCCUGGUAGUCCACACCGUAAACGAUGAUUACUAGGUGUUGGAGGAUUGACCCCUUCAGUGCCGCAGUUAACACAAUAAGUAAUCCACCUGGGGAGUACGACCGCAAGGUUGAAACUCAAAGGAAUUGACGGGGGCCCGCACAAGCAGUGGAGUAUGUGGUUUAAUUCGACGCAACGCGAAGAACCUUACCAAGUCUUGACAUCCUGCGACGGUGCUGGAAACAGAACUUUCCUUCGGGACGCAGAGACAGGUGGUGCAUGGUUGUCGUCAGCUCGUGUCGUGAGAUGUUGGGUUAAGUCCCGCAACGAGCGCAACCCUUAUGGUCAGUUACUACGCAAGAGGACUCUGGCCAGACUGCCGUUGACAAAACGGAGGAAGGUGGGGAUGACGUCAAAUCAUCAUGCCCUUUAUGACUUGGGCUACACACGUACUACAAUGGCGUUAAACAAAGAGAAGCAAGACCGCGAGGUGGAGCAAAACUCAGAAACAACGUCCCAGUUCGGACUGCAGGCUGCAACUCGCCUGCACGAAGUCGGAAUUGCUAGUAAUCGCGGAUCAGCAUGCCACGGUGAAUACGUUCCC